This 201-nucleotide long non-coding RNA is filed under the name Olea europaea (common olive). RNAcentral describes it as "long non-coding RNA (OEUR_LNC003875)". Lineage: Eukaryota; Viridiplantae; Streptophyta; Magnoliopsida; Lamiales; Oleaceae. The record is from RNAcentral.
UAAGGUUACCCGUGGCACUCCCUUACAAAAUUCUUAGAUUAAUUUUUUCUCUUUCCCCAGCAUCUCUAGAAAACAUCAAAAGGCUCACUCCGACCAAAAAUUUUCACUCAUUUGGGUCACUCAGGAUUAACCUAAAAGCAGUAUGGCUUCUAGAAAUCAAGUUAUGCUUUUAUUAUAUGUAUAGGAUGAAAUGAUGAACAU